UCGCUGGCAAAAUCCAGCGACCUGGUUUGACAGCCAGGAAUAUGACAGGCGGACACCCGCCAUUGGCGGUUUUUUU
This 76-nucleotide small RNA is filed under the name Nitrosomonas nitrosa. RNAcentral describes it as "isrK". It matches the Rfam family "isrK Hfq binding RNA". The record is from RNAcentral. Lineage: Bacteria; Pseudomonadati; Pseudomonadota; Betaproteobacteria; Nitrosomonadales; Nitrosomonadaceae.